Molecule: long non-coding RNA, 409 nt
Filed under: Polistes fuscatus (common paper wasp)
Lineage: Eukaryota; Metazoa; Arthropoda; Insecta; Hymenoptera; Vespidae
Description: uncharacterized LOC122518827
Source: RNAcentral
GAAAGAGUGUAAAAGAGGAGGGGAGAAUGAGUUUUCCUAUUGAAAACACUUGUUCGUGGAUAAAUAAUAUAAUUUUAUUACUUCCUGAUAAUCGAUAUAAAAAUAUAUAAGAGAUGUACUGAUUAAUUGAUUUUAUAAUUACAUAGCGUAGUUCGAAGCCUUCUUUUAUAACUUCAGUAUAUUAAUUACUUAACGACCGAUCAUAGGAUAGACAUUGGGACUACUUGAGUCCUGUUAUGCUUAUAUUUCUGUUGUGAGACCACCAAGAACAUAACCUCUUAAAACGGAUCUGCAGAUUGUAUUCUUUAUUUCAAUGGGGAUUAUUAAAGAUAAAAAUUUAGCAUGGUCAAUUCGUGAAAGUUGGUAAAUAUUAUUAAACAUGACUGUGAUUAAAAACGAUACAACCAAA